Long non-coding RNA from Neopsephotus bourkii (Bourke's parrot), 771 nucleotides. RefSeq lists it as uncharacterized. The record is from RefSeq and is a predicted model, not a curated record. The transcript has 3 exons. Lineage: Eukaryota; Metazoa; Chordata; Aves; Psittaciformes; Psittacidae.
AGUUUAGAUUUCCUCAUCACAGAUUUAAGAAACUCUUCUGAGUACCUGUUUGUUUUUUUCUUCCUGCCUUUUUUUUUUUUUUUUUACUGUGAACAAUUGCAUAAGAUCAAAUGUCUCUGUUCCUUAGGAGAUCAUCUGCUCCUGCUGCUCAUUUACCAUCUGAAAUCAUAAUCAUCUGCUGGUGACAAUCUAAUCAUCUUCACAGUAACUAAUUGUGAUGUCACAAACAAAUGAUUAUGAUUUCAGGUGGUGAACAAACAGCAGGAGCAGAUGUAAUCUGAAGAACAAAGACUGUAAAGUCAUGCAUGAAUCUCUAGUAAUAAAAUGUUAGGGAAGAAAAACAAAGAGCCUGUCCUUUACAGAGAGCUCAUCUACAGCUUCUCCUAGAAGACAUACUGUAUGUUUGUCUUGUCCCAUCCAGAAAUAUAAAACCAAAUGUCUCCAUGUCUUCUCCAGAAGCAUCAGGGAGAAAACCCCCCACUCAAUGUUAUUGCUAUUUCACAUGUGAAAAAAGUCUAAGAUAUCCCAAACCAAGAAAUAAAUAGCUUCUUGCUUCAUCUUUAAGAUUGUGAAAUGAAGAGGAAAGGUAAAGAAGUAAACCUGUCAGAAGGAGCUUUGCCAGUGAGUAGGAGGAACAGAAGUGAAGUUUGCUGCUAAAGUAUCUUCAAAAGUAACACAAUAGAGGUGAGCAAGAGGAGUUGAUUUUCAAGGAUAUUUAAUAGGGAAUACUAAAAAUGCAUCGACUGUAGGGUAUUUCUCAGCAAAACCGAA